CGAAGGACCAGAGAGACAGGGCCUCCCUAAAUCUAAGCGCCCUCCAACAAAACAGAUGAUAUAAUCUUAAUCUGACAUACGAUACUUAUACAGCCCUAGACAAGGGUCU
This 109-nucleotide ribosomal RNA is filed under the name Trachops cirrhosus. RNAcentral describes it as "partial 16S ribosomal RNA". The record is from RNAcentral. Lineage: Eukaryota; Metazoa; Chordata; Mammalia; Chiroptera; Phyllostomidae.